GAUGAACGCUGGCGGCGUGCCUAAUACAUGCCAGUCGAGCGAACAGACGAGGAGCUUGCUCCUCUGACGUUAGCGGCGGACGGGUGAGUAACACGUGGAUAACCUACCUAUAAGACUGGGAUAACUUCGGGAAACCGGAGCUAAUACCGGAUAAUAUAUUGAACCGCAUGGUUCAAUAGUGAAAGACGGUUUUGCUGUCACUUAUAGAUGGAUCCGCGCCGCAUUAGCUAGUUGGUAAGGUAACGGCUUACCAAGGCAACGAUGCGUAGCCGACCUGAGAGGGUGAUCGGCCACACUGGAACUGAGACACGGUCCAGACUCCUACGGGAGGCGGCAGUAGGGAAUCUUCCGCAAUGGGCGAAAGCUUGACGGAGCAACGCCGCGUGAGUGAUGAAGGUCUUCGGAUCGUAAAACUCUGUUAUUAGGGAAGAACAAAUGUGUAAGUAACUAUGCACGUCUUGACGGUACCUAAUCAGAAAGCCACGGCUAACUACGUG
RNAcentral lists this ribosomal RNA (497 nucleotides) under uncultured bacterium. Its description in RNAcentral is "partial 16S ribosomal RNA". It matches the Rfam family "Bacterial small subunit ribosomal RNA", at positions 28 to 507 of the family's 1533-position model. The record is from RNAcentral.